AACGAACGCUGGCGGCAUGCCUAACACAUGCAAGUCGAACGAGACCUUCGGGUCUAGUGGCGCACGGGUGCGUAGCGCGUGGGAACCUGCCCUUAGGUUCGGAAUAACUCCCCGAAAGGGGUGCUAAUACCGGAUAAUGUCUUCGGACCAAAGAUUUAUCGCCUUUGGAUGGGCCCGCGUUGGAUUAGCUAGUUGGUAGGGUAAAAGCCCACCAAGGCGACGAUCCAUAGCUGGUCUGAGAGGAUGAUCAGCCACACUGGGACUGAGACACGGCCCAGACUCCUACGGGGGGCAGCAGUGGGGAAUAUUGGACAAUGGGCGAAAGCCUGAUCCAGCAAUGCCGCGUGAGUGAUGAAGGCCUUAGGGUUGUAAAGCUCUUUUACCCGGGAUGAUAAUGACAGUACCGGGAGAAUAAGCUCCGGCUAACUCCGUG
This 433-nucleotide ribosomal RNA is filed under the name uncultured bacterium. RNAcentral describes it as "partial 16S ribosomal RNA". It matches the Rfam family "Bacterial small subunit ribosomal RNA", at positions 29 to 507 of the family's 1533-position model. The record is from RNAcentral.